UUCUAUUUUUCUAUACAAAAUUAGUUCAUUAAAUUCGACUUUCCGUUCAUUUCAUUUUUAAUAAUAUACUUAGUAGUCUCCCGAAGGCUUAAAACAGAGGGCAAUUUAGUAUGAAAAUUAAUGACAGCGGAAAAUGCUUCCGACUAGGACAUUACUUUUGCGUUUAUAGAAAUGUAAUUUGUAUACAUAUCAGGCUGUGUAUUCUGUAUAUUAAGGUACGGCGAUACUUAUAAACAGCCAGCAAGCGGACAAGCUUUUGGCGAAAAGAGGUCGCCAUGUGUCAUUAGGAAUUGUUACCAGGCUGGUUACAGUAUUUUAAGAUUACGAAAGAAAUGGAAUAUCUCAGGUGGAUUUUAUUUUUCGUCGCCCUGGGGUCAAUCGUUGCUCAUGAUGAGGAAGAAUGCCGGGAACUGAUGAGUAGAAAGCCUUGGAACUACGUGCCAUAUUACAUGCUUCUGAGGGAAGUGAUCUGUCGCACGUGUUGUGGACUUCAACCAGGGCGAACGCGCGUACGAUGUAUUCUCAGGAGAUGUAUCAAUGCAAGAUUCAAGUGUUCAUAGACACAAAAAGAAACCUGUCACAAAGUAGUCAAUAAACUGGAGGAUGGCUUUA
Long non-coding RNA from Magallana angulata, 612 nucleotides. RefSeq lists it as uncharacterized. The transcript has 2 exons. Lineage: Eukaryota; Metazoa; Mollusca; Bivalvia; Ostreida; Ostreidae. The record is from RefSeq and is a predicted model, not a curated record.